GAAGAUAUGAUGAUCCUUUCCCCAGAUGAUCGACAGUGAACAUACUGUGCUCUAUAACUUCUCAUUGGAGAACCAAGCCAGAAUUCUGAUCCUU
Dichanthelium oligosanthes is the source of this 94-nucleotide small nucleolar RNA. It matches the Rfam family "Small nucleolar RNA Z103". Rfam says of the family: This family consists of several snoRNA Z103 sequences which are members of the C/D class of snoRNA which contain the C (UGAUGA) and D (CUGA) box motifs. This family seems to be found exclusively in plants. The record is from Rfam. Lineage: Eukaryota; Viridiplantae; Streptophyta; Magnoliopsida; Poales; Poaceae.